This 468-nucleotide ribosomal RNA is filed under the name uncultured bacterium. RNAcentral's name for it is "bacterial SSU rRNA". It matches the Rfam family "Bacterial small subunit ribosomal RNA", at positions 1 to 453 of the family's 1533-position model. The record is from RNAcentral.
CCCUUAGAGUUUGAUCCUGGCUCAGGAUGAACGCUGGCGGCGUGCCUAACACAUGCAAGUCGAGCGAAGCACUUUGCUUAGAUUCUUCGGAUGAAGAGGAUUGUGACUGAGCGGCGGACGGGUGAGUAACGCGUGGGUAACCUGCCUCAUACAGGGGGAUAACAGUUAGAAAUGACUGCUAAUACCGCAUAAGACCACAGCACCGCAUGGUGCGGGGGUAAAAACUCCGGUGGUAUGAGAUGGACCCGCGUCUGAUUAGCUAGUUGGUAAGGUAACGGCUUACCAAGGCGACGAUCAGUAGCCGACCUGAGAGGGUGACCGGCCACAUUGGGACUGAGACACGGCCCAAACUCCUACGGGAGGCAGCAGUGGGGAAUAUUGCACAAUGGGGGAAACCCUGAUGCAGCGACGCCGCGUGAGCGAAGAAGUAUUUCGGUAUGUAAAGCUCUAUCAGCAGGGAAGAAAAUG